UACAGAGGUGCCGAGCGUUAGGCGGAAUCACUGGGCUUAAAGCGCGUGUAGGCGGGUCGUUAAGUGCCUUGUGAAAUCCCACGGCUCAACCGUGGAACGGCUGGGCAUACUGGCGAUCUUGAGGCACCCAGGGGCGAGCGGAACAAAUGGUGGAGCGGUGAAAUGCGUAGAUAUCAUUUGGAACGCCGACGGUGAAAACAGCUCGCUGGGGGUGUCCUGACGCUGAGACGCGAAAGCCAGGGGAGCGAACGGG
RNAcentral lists this ribosomal RNA (253 nucleotides) under uncultured bacterium. RNAcentral's name for it is "partial 16S ribosomal RNA". It matches the Rfam family "Bacterial small subunit ribosomal RNA", at positions 524 to 776 of the family's 1533-position model. The record is from RNAcentral.